This 201-nucleotide ribosomal RNA is filed under the name uncultured prokaryote. RNAcentral describes it as "partial 16S ribosomal RNA". It matches the Rfam family "Bacterial small subunit ribosomal RNA", at positions 524 to 724 of the family's 1533-position model. The record is from RNAcentral.
UACGAGGGGGGCGAGCGUUGUUCGGAAUUAUUGGGCUUAAAGCGCGUGUAGGCGGAGCCGUAAGUACCUUGUGAAAUCCCCGGACUCAAUCCGGGAACUGCUCGGUAUACUGCGGUUCUCGAGGCAGGUAGAGGUCACUGGAACCUUAGGUGGAGCGGUGAAAUGCGUAGAUAUCUAAGGGAACGCCUGUGGCGAAAGCGG